GAUGAAGAACGCAGCGAAAUGCGAUAAGUAGUGUGAAUUGCAGAAUUCAGUGAAUCAUCGAAUCUUUGAACGCACAUUGCGCCCCUUGGUAUCCCGAGGGGCAUGCCUGUUCGAGCGUCAUUUCACCACUCAAGCCUGGCCUGGUGUUGGGCGACGUCCCCUUUGGGGACGCGCCUCGAAACGCUCGGCGGCGUGGCACCGGCUUUAAGCGUAGCAGAAUCUUUCGCUUUGGAAGUCGGGGCCCCGUCUGCCGGAAGACCUACUCGCAAGGUUGACCUCGGAUCAGGCAGGGAUACCCGCUGAACUUAAGCAUAUCAAUAAGCGGAGGA
Molecule: unclassified non-coding RNA, 329 nt
Filed under: soil metagenome
Description: partial contains 5.8S ribosomal RNA, internal transcribed spacer 2, and large subunit ribosomal RNA
Rfam family: 5.8S ribosomal RNA (bases 1-120)
Source: RNAcentral